CCUACGGGUGGCAGCAGUGGGGAAUAUUGCACAAUGGGGGAAACCCUGAUGCAGCGACGCCGCGUGAGUGAAGAAGUAAUUCGUUAUGUAAAGCUCUAUCAGCAGGGAAGAAAAUGACGGUUACUGAGCAAGAAGGCCCCGGUUACCACGUGCCAGCAGCCGGGGUAAUACGUAGGGGGCAAGCGUUAUCCGGAUUUACUGGGUGUAAAGGGAGCGUAGACGGCAGUGCAAGUCUGGAGUGAAAGUCGAGGGCUCAACCCCCUGACUGCUGUGGAAACUGUAAGGUUGGAGUGCAGGAGAGGUAAGUGGAAUUCCUAGUGUAGCGGUGAAAUGCGUAGAUAUUAGGAGGAACACCAGGGGCGAAGGCGGCUUACUGGACUGUAACUGACGUUGAGGCUCGAAAGCGUGGGGAGCAAACAGGAUUAGAUACCCCUGUAGUC
RNAcentral lists this ribosomal RNA (440 nucleotides) under uncultured bacterium. RNAcentral's name for it is "partial 16S ribosomal RNA". It matches the Rfam family "Bacterial small subunit ribosomal RNA", at positions 338 to 795 of the family's 1533-position model. The record is from RNAcentral.